GUGCUAUAGCUUGUUGUCGGAUACUGAUAAAUGGGUCAAACAACAUUCAAAUCAAAAGGGCAGAGAAGCCAGGGUAGCGCACCUCCAUAUCCGGGUUACUGUUAACCAACUACGAACACAGGACAGUUAACAGGAUUCACGCUCAAUUAAGCCAGGUUAUUAAAAGGGCGGAACCAGAGGCCUAACCAUGUCUUCCAAUAAGACACAACAGCUCCAGAAAGACGUAGAUGAUUUGACGAAGAUCAUGCAAGAAAAUGUUGAAAAAAUUCUGGAAAGAGGAGAUAAGAUUGAAGAUUUGACUGAUCAUGCAAAUGGAGUAAAAUGUUGACUUAUCAAUAUUUAUCGCUUGUAGACGAAUUAGAGCAAAACUCUGCAGGAUUUAAAAAGACGGCUAAACAGGUCAAGACACAAAUGUGGUGGAAAAAUACAAAGUUAACGAUCUUGUUGGUUGUCAUUGUGCUGUUAAUUAUCACGAUUAUUGUUCUGGCUGCUUGGCGACCAUGGAAAUAACGUAUCGGGAUGGCGUCUCUCGACACCCAUGGCAACGGAGAACAACUUGAGACAACUAAGAAACAUUUCUAACAUACUUUUGAUUGCGAGUGCUAUGCUGGAUUAUAGUGCCGUAAAUGGGUUGUAAACUGUCAUCUUUAUUGUAGGUUUAUAUAAACAUUCGUAUCAUAAACGUAAUAAGUUAUAUCUAUGUAUUAGCAAUGACGUCACGAUUGAGCGACGUUCAUCGGCUGUCUAUCAUUCCCAAUGCUAAUACCAUAUUUAUUCAAAUAAUGCCUCGGGCGUUUAUUGUUGGGAAGGAAUUGGGGUAGCUUAUUUUUUAUUUAUUUUUUUUUUUUUGUAAAAAUGGUUACGAUAAUGUACUCAAAUAAACGCCCCUUAAUUUCACUGUAAAUGUGGAAUUACAACAUAAUUACCGUCAAAAUGUGUUAUUGCGUGAUCAUAGAAUUGAUCCCAAUCAAAAAUGUAAUUCUAUCUAUUGGAGUAGAAUAUUAUUGAGAAUAUUAUUGUGUUGAGAAUGAUGUUGCUUCCAUUUGCUUACAAUCAUUUAGGGGGGCGUUUAUUCGAGGAAAAAAUAAACGCCCGGGACGUUUAUUCGAGGGACGCUCCGAAGCUUAUUCAAGGGGUGGGGUGUUUAUUCAAAGUGGGGAGUUUAUAGAAUAAAUACGGUUUAAUUAAGGUACCAAAGCUUACUUAGAAAAAAAAAGUUAUUGUUAACAUUUUUCUGUUUUAAAUAUAACAUAGGGCCUAGUCAGACACUAGCUUCCAAGCGACUUUUAAUAUUUAUAGUUAUUGACGUUAAAUACGGUAUAGAUCGAGAGUCGCAUCUCUUUACAUACUUUUAUUGAUUUUAUCAAUGAAAUUACACAAUAAUAAUAAUAAUAGUAAUAAUAAUAAAUAAUAUAUUUAUAUAGGAUUUCACAGUUAAGUAUAAACCUGUUUUUCGCUGUGGUCCUGUUAGAGAAAUGUAAUACAGUACGAUUCGACACAAUCAGGAAAAUACAUAAGACAUAUACCUAGACUUUAGUGUGUUAAUUGAGAGCGAGUGUUUGAUAUCAGCUGGUAGUUUGUUCCAGACUUUAGCGCCAGCUACCUAGCUACCUUAAAAGAAAAAACAAAUUACUUAAUGUAUAUAGGAGCACAGCAACAUUAAAAUUCGUGUUAAGUGUUAAGUGAGUACUGUAUGUCUUUCACUAACAAUUUCAAUUUCAGAAUUGUCACCAAAGCAAUAUAGGUUACAUAGAGAUAUGAGCCUCUAUAUGCAAAUUAGGUACACUCUACUGACAGUAAAACCGAAAUGUUCACUGAUUAAUCUAUAAGAUAAUAUAAUACAUACUCCAAGUAUCGAAAAGCACGCCAAGAUACACGAUGGCGUGUAUUUCGAUACUUGGAGUAUUUACUUUAAACUGACAAUAUGAAACAAAUCUGAACAACGAUUAACUUAACUAAAUAUUUAAAUAUUGUAAACCUGUAUGUUUCAAAAUUAGGACUUUUGAAAUUAUAUUAUUAUUAUGUUAAAAUAAAGAUAGAAAUAAACUGUAUAUUUACGCAAUCGUGUA
Anneissia japonica is the source of this 2069-nucleotide RNA transcript. It is a transcript of the gene named synaptobrevin-1-like, with no coding region annotated. The transcript is spliced from 5 exons. The record is from RefSeq and is a predicted model, not a curated record. NCBI's taxonomy places the organism in Eukaryota, Metazoa, Echinodermata, Crinoidea, Comatulida, Comatulidae.